AAAGUGAACAUACUAAGAAUAAACAGUCUGUUUCAUUUCCUGGUGGAGCUAAUAAGCAUCAUAGCUAAAAUUUACACUAAUGAAGGAUCUGAGCGUGAGGAUGUCUGAAACACUCUGAGGAACAUCAAGAAUGUUUUGGAGGUACCAUGAAGCAGAACAGGCAAAGCUUUGUGUCCUGUUAUUGGAGCGCUCCUCUGGACGAUGACAGAACCGCAGUAAAUCACUCUCACAGGAUUUAUCCAAGAAUAGCCUUCAGGAAAUUAAAUUAUAAUAAGGAGA
Molecule: long non-coding RNA, 279 nt
Organism: Poecilia latipinna (sailfin molly)
Lineage: Eukaryota; Metazoa; Chordata; Actinopteri; Cyprinodontiformes; Poeciliidae
Exons: 2
Source: RefSeq, a predicted model, not a curated record